Non-coding RNA from Dimargaris xerosporica, 72 nucleotides. Lineage: Eukaryota; Fungi; Kickxellomycota; Dimargaritomycetes; Dimargaritales; Dimargaritaceae. The record is from the annotation of a GenBank genome assembly.
GCCCGCUUGGCUCAGUGGUAGAGCGUCUGUCUCGUAAACAGAAGAUCGGUGGUUCGAAUCCGCCAGUGGGCA